AACAGGAUUAGAUACCCUGGUAGUCCAUGCCGUAAACGUUGGGCACUAGGUGUGGGGGACAUUCCACGUUUUCCGCGCCGUAGCUAACGCAUUAAGUGCCCCGCCUGGGGAGUACGGCCGCAAGGCUAAAACUCAAAGGAAUUGACGAGGGCCCGCACAAGCGGCGGAGCAUGCGGAUUAAUUCGAUGCAACGCGAAGAACCUUACCAAGGCUUGACAUGGACUGGAAAUACCUGGAAACAGGUGCCCCGCUUGCGGUCGGUUCACAGGUGGUGCAUGGUUGUCGUCAGCUCGUGUCGUGAGAUGUUGGGUUAAGUCCCGCAACGAGCGCAACCCUCGUUCUAUGUUGCCAGCGCGUUAUGGCGGGGACUCAUAGGAGACUGCCGGGGUCAACUCGGAGGAAGGUGGGGACGACGUCAAAUCAUCAUGCCCCUUAUGUCUUGGGCUUCACGCAUGCUACAAUGGCCGGUACAAAGGGUUGCGAUACUGUGAGGUGGAGCUAAUCCCAAAAAGCCGGUCUCAGUUCGGAUUGGGGUCUGCAACUCGACCCCAUGAAGUCGGAGUCGCUAGUAAUCGCAGAUCAGCAACGCUGCGGUGAAUACGUUCCCGGGCCUUGUACACACCGCCCGUCAAGUCACGAAAGUUGGUAACACCCGAAGCCGGUGGCCUAACCCCUUGUGGGAGGGAGCUGUCGAAGGUGGGACUGGCGAUUGGGACUAAGUCGUAACAAGGUAACC
This 736-nucleotide ribosomal RNA is filed under the name uncultured bacterium. Its description in RNAcentral is "bacterial SSU rRNA". It matches the Rfam family "Bacterial small subunit ribosomal RNA", at positions 771 to 1501 of the family's 1533-position model. The record is from RNAcentral.